This 557-nucleotide ribosomal RNA is filed under the name Chaetomium elatum. Its description in RNAcentral is "partial large subunit ribosomal RNA". It matches the Rfam family "Eukaryotic large subunit ribosomal RNA", at positions 69 to 652 of the family's 3401-position model. Lineage: Eukaryota; Fungi; Ascomycota; Sordariomycetes; Sordariales; Chaetomiaceae. The record is from RNAcentral.
CAGGGAUUGCCCUAGUAACGGCGAGUGAAGCGGCAACAGCUCAAAUUUGAAAUCUGGCUUCGGCCCGAGUUGUAAUUUGCAGAGGAAGCUUUAGGCGCGGCACCUUCUGAGUCCCCUGGAACGGGGCGCCAUAGAGGGUGAGAGCCCCGUAUAGUUGGAUGCCUAGCCUGUGUAAAGCUCCUUCGACGAGUCGAGUAGUUUGGGAAUGCUGCUCAAAAUGGGAGGUAAAUUUCUUCUAAAGCUAAAUACCGGCCAGAGACCGAUAGCGCACAAGUAGAGUGAUCGAAAGAUGAAAAGCACUUUGAAAAGAGGGUUAAAUAGCACGUGAAAUUGUUGAAAGGGAAGCGCUUGUGACCAGACUUGCGCCGGGCAGAUCAUCCGGUGUUCUCACCGGUGCACUCUGCCCGGCUCAGGCCAGCAUCGGUUCUCGCGGGGGGAUAAAGGCCCUGGGAACGUAGCUCCUCCGGGAGUGUUAUAGCCCGGGGCGUAAUGCCCUCGCGGGGACCGAGGUUCGCGCAUCUGCAAGGAUGCUGGCGUAAUGGUCAUCAGCGACCCGU